Small nucleolar RNA from Peromyscus maniculatus bairdii (prairie deer mouse), 81 nucleotides. The record is from Ensembl. Lineage: Eukaryota; Metazoa; Chordata; Mammalia; Rodentia; Cricetidae.
AUUCUCCAAGAGAAUCUGCUGGUCUUGAUUCAUUGUUAGAGGCCUCCAGUGUCCCUCUUAGUGCCCAGAUCAGAAACAUGU